UCUAAUGGGAAGGGGGCAGUCUGGUGCCAGCAGCCGCGGUAAUUCCAGCUCCAAAAGCGUAUAUUAAAGUUGUUGCAGUUAAAAAGCUCGUAGUUGAACCUUGGGCUUGGCUGGCCGGUCCAUCUUUUUUGAUGCGUACUGGACCCAGCCGAGCCUUUCCUUCUGGCUAGCCUUUUUGGCGAACCAGGACUUUUACUUUGAAAAAAUUAGAGUGUUCAAAGCAGGCCUUUGCUCGAAUAUAUUAGCAUGGAAUAAUAGAAUAGGACGUUAUGGUUCUAUUUUGUUGGUUUCUAGGACCAUCGUAAUGAUUAAUAGGGACGGUCGGGGGUAUCAGUAUUCAGUAGUCAGAGGUGAAAUUCUUGGAUUUACUGAAGACUAACUACUGCGAAAGCAUUUACCAAGGACGUUUUCAUUAAUCAAGAACGAAAGUUAGGGGAUCGAAGAUGAUCAGAUACCGUCGAUUCAACC
This 468-nucleotide ribosomal RNA is filed under the name uncultured Candida. Its description in RNAcentral is "SSU rRNA". It matches the Rfam family "Eukaryotic small subunit ribosomal RNA", at positions 539 to 1031 of the family's 1831-position model. The record is from RNAcentral. Lineage: Eukaryota; Fungi; Ascomycota; Saccharomycetes; Saccharomycetales.